This 509-nucleotide ribosomal RNA is filed under the name uncultured bacterium. RNAcentral describes it as "partial 16S ribosomal RNA". It matches the Rfam family "Bacterial small subunit ribosomal RNA", at positions 28 to 545 of the family's 1533-position model. The record is from RNAcentral.
GACGAACGCUGGCGGCGUGCUUAACACAUGCAAGUCGAACGGAAAGACCCUGCUUUUGUGGGGUGCUCGAGUGGCGAACGGGUGAGUAACACGUGAGUAACCUGCCCUUGACUUUGGGAUAACUUCAGGAAACUGGGGCUAAUACCGGAUAGGAGCUCCUGCUGCAUGGUGGGGGUUGGAAAGUUUCGGCGGUUGGGGAUGGACUCGCGGCUUAUCAGCUUGUUGGUGGGGUAGUGGCUUACCAAGGCUUUGACGGGUAGCCGGCCUGAGAGGGUGACCGGCCGCAGUGGACCGUGCAGACGCCCCACACGUGUAGGGCAGGUGGUGGUGGGAUUUUUGGGCCACGGGAGGGACGCCACACCCGGCCACUGCGGGCGCGGGCUGACGGCUGCCUGUUUGUACACCGCUUUCCCCUGUGACGAGGAGUGGGUGACUGUCAGUGAUAAAGCACCACCGCUUACCUACGUGCGACCAGCCCGUGUAGUCGACGAAAUCGCCCUUGUCUCACC